ACUCCGCUCAGGACCCCCUUGUCCUACAACUUCUUGAGGAAGUAAACAAGUUGAAGGCUGAACGUCAGGUUGAAAUACCUGACUGGAACCAACCCAGGCCUGGCCCUCUUACAAGGAGGAUCCUCAACACCCCCCUUCAAGCAAAGACAAAGCAGAAGCUUGGCUUGCAACUUUAUACUGGAAAAGAGGACCCGAUUGAGCACCUU
RNAcentral lists this long non-coding RNA (206 nucleotides) under Malus domestica (apple). RNAcentral's name for it is "long non-coding RNA (MDOM_LNC014877)". Lineage: Eukaryota; Viridiplantae; Streptophyta; Magnoliopsida; Rosales; Rosaceae. The record is from RNAcentral.